CCUACGGGUGGCAGCAGUGAGGAAUAUUGGUCAAUGGGCGCGAGCCUGAACCAGCCAAGUCGCGUGAGGGAAGACGGUCCUAUGGAUUGUAAACCUCUUUUGUCGGGGAGCAAAAGACGCCACGCGUGGCGUUCCGAGAGUACCCGAAGAAAAAGCAUCGGCUAACUCCGUGCCAGCAGCCGCGGUAAUACGGAGGAUGCGAGCGUUAUCCGGAUUUAUUGGGUUUAAAGGGUGCGUAGGCGGCCUUUUAAGUCAGCGGUGAAAGUCUGUGGCUCAACCAUAGAAUUGCCGUUGAAACUGGGGGGCUUGAGUAUGUUUGAGGCAGGCGGAAUGCGUGGUGUAGCGGUGAAAUGCUUAGAUAUCACGCAGAACCCCGAUUGCGAAGGCAGCCUGCCAAGCCAUGACUGACGCUGAUGCACGAAAGCGUGGGGAUCAAACAGGAUUAGAUACCCUAGUAGUC
RNAcentral lists this ribosomal RNA (460 nucleotides) under uncultured bacterium. RNAcentral describes it as "partial 16S ribosomal RNA". It matches the Rfam family "Bacterial small subunit ribosomal RNA", at positions 338 to 795 of the family's 1533-position model. The record is from RNAcentral.